RNAcentral lists this ribosomal RNA (253 nucleotides) under uncultured bacterium. Its description in RNAcentral is "partial 16S ribosomal RNA". It matches the Rfam family "Bacterial small subunit ribosomal RNA", at positions 524 to 776 of the family's 1533-position model. The record is from RNAcentral.
UACGGGGGGAGCAAGCGUUGUUCGGAUUUACUGGGCGUAAAGGGCGCGUAGGCGGCCUGUUGCGUCCGCUGUGAAAGCCCGGGGCUUAACCCCGGGUCGGCAGUGGAUACGGGCAGGCUAGAGGUAGGUAGGGGAGAAUGGAAUUCCCGGUGUAGCGGUGAAAUGCGCAGAUAUCGGGAGGAACACCGGUGGCGAAGGCGGUUCUCUGGGCCUUACCUGACGCUGAGGAGCGAAAGCGUGGGGAGCGAACAGG